AGGAGGGGUGUUCAGCAGACAGAGAUGGAGGCUGGGAGGAGAGAGGGAGCCCAGAGGAGGAGGAGGAGGGGGUGGGUUGUUCCUGAGCUCAGGGCCGCGGAUUAGAGCAGAGAGCAGCCCCGAUGACAGCAUCCAGCACGCAGCCAAGGCCACCACCAUCAUCUGGCCGGGGCGGAUAUUUCGGAGGCAUCGGUCGAUCUGUUGAUUUUCUCGGGGGUCUUCCAGCCAGACGCGUUCCGAGUCCGUCUGCCUCCUCAUCAAACCACGAGGUGGCUGCAGCAGACUGGAAUUGAGCCCUGAUGAUCACAAGGACCUCUCUCUUCCGUUUUUCUGCCAAUCCUGGAGGGGCUACAGUGCUGAUGUCUCAGAGGACAAGAGGGCGUCCUUUUUUUGGAGUCUUAAAGAGACAAGCGAGAUCUCGAUAAAUGGAGGAGAAGGAGCGAUGCAGGAGCAGGUCUCCUGCUCGGAGGGCCAGUCGAGUCCAGCAGGUGGUGGGAACCAUAAUACGACGCACCCGAGAGUCUCUAAGCAGGUAAGACAACAAGAGAAGAAGUGCUGUGAAGAUGUAGGGGAACACAUAAAACAGUGGGAGGCCGUCCAUGUGAGCACUCUGUGGAUGUGAGCAGAAA
RNAcentral lists this long non-coding RNA (629 nucleotides) under Oryzias javanicus (javanese ricefish). RNAcentral describes it as "lncRNA (ENSOJAG00000005840.1)". Lineage: Eukaryota; Metazoa; Chordata; Actinopteri; Beloniformes; Adrianichthyidae. The record is from RNAcentral.